Molecule: long non-coding RNA, 1122 nt
Organism: Mustela erminea (ermine)
Lineage: Eukaryota; Metazoa; Chordata; Mammalia; Carnivora; Mustelidae
Exons: 6
Source: RefSeq, a predicted model, not a curated record
CCCAAUCUCCACUUACUCAUCACAGAACGAGCCCCUCUAAACGGCCUGGGGUAGACAAGAGUAGAGUCAAAGAGAUCACUGGGUCGUUGCAUGAGUCAACUCCUCCACCAGAAGCACUAUUUGGAAGUUGAAACGAAAUCACGAAGCGAACGUUUCCUCUGGAGGGAAAACGGAGAGCGCGCUCAGGGGGACUUAGCUGGGUCCGCAGUCUCCGAGCAGCGCCAAGUCCGCCGAGGGAGGGCAGAGGCGGGCGCGGGGCCGCGGCGGCCGGGGAGCUGCUGGGCGCCUGGAGCGCGGCGCCCGCGGGCGGCUCUCGGCCCUUCCCCCGCACCACGGUAAUUGCGUGCGGGCUUUAAUUAAGGAGGAGGAGCCCGGCUGCCGACUGAGACGUAGAAGUGAUUUUUUUUUUUUUAAAGCGGGGACCUGACUUCUAAAGAGAUUCUAACCUGUCCCCGCACUGGAUCUCCCACCCUCGCGGAGGAGCGGAGACAACGGUGCGUGCGUACCUCGCUUCCUGUUUGAUUAACUCACGCGCCCGCCUCCUUCUUUCUCGGAGGAGCCGGGGAGCAACCGCAGCGCAGCCCCGAGAGGGGGCGAGCGGAACCCAGCCGGGCUAGCCCGACCGCGGCGCGCGUGUCUGCGCCGCCGGCUCCUUGUCGGCACCUCGCCGGCCCGCGGCGUCCAGGGAAGGGCCGCAGGACGAAUGUUGCCCGGGAAACGCGGAGCGUCCCAGAAGUGUCCAGAAGUAUUCCUCAGAAAAAAAUGUGCAUAGGCAACGAGUUUCUUGAUAAAAAGUUUCUUCAUCAAAACUACACAGAGGACUUAUGCUUCCAGAUUUCCAUUAGACAUUAGGGAUUUCUUUGAAGAACAGAAAGCAAACAUCACUUGUAAAGUGAGGAGCAAGCUAGAGGAUGGAGAGGGAAGAAAAAUGAUCGCUUCCAUACUGAACUGUCCUGGGAAACAAGGUGAAGAUCACUUCUUUCCAUGAAAAGCUUUGCAGCAACAGGGUAUUGUAAGGACAUAACUUUUCAACCAACUGAGCCACCCAGGCAUCCCAGGACAUAACUUUUCAAACCAGUUGGAGCAAGAGAGAGACAGAGAGAGAAGGAACACAAAUAAGAG